Molecule: ribosomal RNA, 785 nt
Filed under: uncultured Bacillota bacterium
Lineage: Bacteria; Bacillati; Bacillota
Description: bacterial SSU rRNA
Rfam family: Bacterial small subunit ribosomal RNA
Source: RNAcentral
UGUAAAGGGCGUGUAGGCGGGAUAGCAAGUCAGUCGUGAAAUACCGAGGCUCAACUUCGGAGCUGCGAUUGAAACUGUUAUUCUUGAGUAUCGGAGAGGAAAGCGGAAUCCCAGUGUAGCGGUGAAAUGCGUAGAUAUUGGGAGGAACACCAGUGGCGAAGGCGGCUUUCUGGACGACAACUGACGCUGAGGCGCGAAAGUGUGGGGAGCAAACAGGAUUAGAUACCCUGGUAGUCCACACCGUAAACGAUGGAUACUAGGUGUAGGAGGUAUCGACUCCUUCUGUGCCGCAGUAAACACAAUAAGUAUCCCACCUGGGGAGUACGACCGCAAGGUUGAAACUCAAAGGAAUUGACGGGGGCCCGCACAAGCAGUGGAGUAUGUGGAUUAAUUCGAAGCAACGCGAAGAACCUUACCUGGUCUUGACAUCCCGAUGCCCGGUGUAGAGAUACACCUUUUCUUCGGAACAUCGGUGACAGGUGGUGCAUGGUUGUCGUCAGCUCGUGUCGUGAGAUGUUGGGUUAAGUCCCGCAACGAGCGCAACCCCUAUUGUUAGUUGCCAUCAUUCAGUUGGGCACUCUAGCGAGACUGCCGGUGACAAAUCGGAGGAAGGUGGGGACGACGUCAAAUCAUCAUGCCCCUUAUGACCAGGGCCUCACACGUACUACAAUGGCCGAUAACAAAGUGCAGCAAAACCGUAAGGUGGAGCGAAUCACAAAACUCGGUCUCAGUUCGGAUUGUGGGCUGAAACCCGCCCACAUGAAGUUGGAAUUGCUAGUAAUCGC